CUACCAUAAUACGUUGUAACCAUCCGUACCGUACCAAUCUUCACGCCCUCGACUCGUACGAGGCGUGCCUCUGGUCUCGAAGAUCCUACGAAUCCCUCCCAUCUCUUCCUCAAAAAUUAUCUAGACCUAGGAAAUAGUGGGGUACACAGAGAACGAGGAAAUGUCUUUAACGUGUGUGAAAAUGUCGGAAGAUGUGUGGUUAACAUGUCUGACGCAUGCAUUGUCCACAGAGACCGAAGAGAUCAUGGGUCUUCUUCUCGGUGAUAUUGAGUACUCUAAGAAUGGGAGUGUAACUGCACUUAUUUGGGGAGCAUCACCGCAAACACGCUCCGACCGCAGAAAGGAUCGUGUGGAGACUAAUCCUGAACAGUUGGCUGCCGCAUCAGCUCAGGCUGAGAUAUCCUUGAUUCUUCUUUAUGUGCUUUGUCAAUCUUAUUUAAAUUAGCAUGAAUAUCUAUAUACUCUUGCCGCUUUCAAUAUAUGGAUGUUGUUGAUCAAUGAAACUAGCUAUUGCUUUUCCCAUGAUCACAAAAUUAUAACCGCAUAUUAAUGAUAUGUAAUCUUUAGAAAUGUUUCUUCCAAAAGGAAAACGGCAUUGCGUUUCACCAACUGGGCUCUUCUUCUGUUUGCUCAAAAAAAAAAAAAAAAAAAAGAGGAGCUCAGCUUCUGUUUUCCAGUUAGUUUUCUGCUAAGUUAAAUUUUCCUGGUUAAUCAAACAAAUUGUGAUUAUUAAGGAAUGUAAGAUUUUUUCAGUAGAUAGGCUUAGUAUAUGCCAAGUGAAUGACCUUCACAACUCACAUGAUAUUGUGCAAUUAACUUUAGAAAACAGAAUGACCACAUUGACAGGAAGAACAACAAGAGUAAUUGGGUGGUAUCAUUCGCAUCCUCAUAUUACAGUUCUUCCUUCCCAUGUUGAUGUACGAACUCAGGCGAUGUAUCAACUUCUAGAUUCUGGGUUUAUCGGGCUAAUAAUUUCCUGUUUUAGUGAAGAUGUAAACAAGGUUGGAAGAAUCCAAGUAAUUGCUUUCCAAUCCUCAGACGGGAAGCAGAAUCAUGUGUCAAGACCUAUAUCUCUAUCCCCUGUAAAUAGAAGUUCAAUUAUAGAUGUUGAAUCAUCUUUAAGUUCCUCAGAAAAUGCAUCAGCAAAAUCCAGCUCUGCAAGGGUAGAGAGUCCUGAACAAGACACUGGCGAUUCAACAACUGCUGGAGGUAUUAAGGGUGGUGGAAGAUCCACGGACUUGGGAGUUCUCUUUGCGCACGCGGAUGCUGAUUAUAUAGGGAGGAAAAGGAUGGGAGGAAGCUACCAUGCUGAUAGUUCAGAAAAUGUUGUUGAUAUAGACCCCAUGGAUAUGUCUGAGAGCAUGCAAGAGGCUAUGCACCGUUCAAAUUUGGAUGUGAGGUAUACAUGAAGGUGCAGAGCAUGUCAGGAAAGAAAUUCCUCUUCAUGUUUUGUCAACGUCAUCCCUUAUUGAGCUUGAGUCUCCUCUAAUGUCGUUUACGGACUUGCAGCAUGUGCUAUAUGAAGAGGAGCAGGCAGCAUAUAACCAAGCUGUAUUGCAAAAUGCUAGGGAUGGGAAAGUGCAUCCUCUUACUUUCAUACAUCACACCUCAACUUAUCAGGCUUCCAUGUGCAAAUUAAUGGAAUAUUGUUUAAGUCCUGCCAUAAAUGCACUCAGGGACCGCUUGAAAGAGAAUGAGAUUCAGUUAGCAAAGUUGAACAGUGAAUCCAAAAGUUUAGAGGCUGAGGGUCUUAGAGCGGGUGAAUCAAGUUCAGGAUCUCCUCGUCAAAUUCCGUAUCAUGAUCUUCGAGGAAAUGCUGUGUUUGGUAACAGGGACUUGCACAGUUCAGCUGAACCGAUUAGCAUGAGGCCAAGUGUUGCCGGUCCUGGUAGCCGGAGCAGAAAAGGGUCUCGCUGAAAUCUGAAAACACAUCGUCUUCUCAAUGCAUGUUGUGUUGUGUAUUUAAAUGUAGAAACUUCGAAGCUAAAAAAAAGAAGUUUGUUUUAUGGAAUGUGGCAUUUUAUAUCUCCACAUAUUUCAUUCUUUUUUCCAGUUUGGCAUUCUGUAGUCAAAGCGACGCAUAGAAAAGCAGGAUGCAGUGUGCACGAGAAGGGGGCUUUUUUUGGGGGGGGGGGGGGGUCGGAUGAAGUGCAUCUGUACUGUUUAUCCGUACAUAUAAUACUAGAGAUUUAAAGGACCUGACCCCAAUAUCAGUCAUAUAGCAUAUUUGAGUUCGCGCAGAUGCAUAUUAAAUUCAUUUUGGGUGUGUUCA
Molecule: RNA transcript, 2272 nt
Organism: Juglans regia (Persian walnut)
Lineage: Eukaryota; Viridiplantae; Streptophyta; Magnoliopsida; Fagales; Juglandaceae
Gene name: lys-63-specific deubiquitinase BRCC36-like
Exons: 9
Source: RefSeq, a predicted model, not a curated record